GUGAACAUGUUACCUUUCCAAACCUUAGACUUUGGUAGAUAGACAUUUGUCUUUGGUAAAACUUCGAUCGGCUCAAUGUGUUUUACUGAAGUUUUAUUCUUUUGUAUUAUAUUAUCUGCAAAAUCAAAGAUGGUAUCAUUUAUAAUUUCUGAUCAUCCACAUGAUUAUUGAUGAGGCUCAAAAUCAAUGGAUAAGAAGAAUCCAUUUAUGAAGAUGGGCAUAAAAAUCCUACAGAACACAUGGUGAGUAAGUUGAACAGACCAGAAAUUACAAAGGAAUAGCUUGGAUUUGAGUUUUGACCCAUCCUUUAAUCACAUGCAACUUCACACCCUACUAUGCACCCAUGCUCAACAAAUCAAUAAUAAACACAGAGUAUGAUACAAUUUUUAGAUAUAGUGCUCAAUUUUGUCGUGAUUUUUUUUUGAAAUGAUUAAAUAGAAACAGAGUAUGAUACAAAUCUCGAUUUUUUAAAUGGACGGGUAAGAUUUAAGAAGACAAAGCUCAUUUUUAUGCAUAUGCCGACAUGCAUUUGAUCAAAAAGGUGUAAAUAGAUUCAGGUCGAUUUGAUUGUCUUUCUUUUGAACUCAGAGACUUGGACUUUCAUGGUUUGGGCCUUUGGGGUGUUAUAAGGAUAUAAAGUCUCAACUCUAAAUAUUGAAGAUAAAAAUUACUCAUCAAUAAUUUCAUUUUUAAUAAGUGAGAUCUUAUUUGGACCAAUUGAAAAUAGGCUGGGUCUGAGCUGGUUGACUUGGUCCGGGUUUAAUUCGUGUUCAGAAGGAAAAUAUUUGGACUUAGACUCAAAAAAAAUCGGAUCCGGAUUAGGUCCAAAUAUGGACUUUUACUUACAAUAAUUAUACAAAAAAAUUAAUAAAAUAUUAUACAAUAGUUUAAAUCUUUAAAUAUUUAAUUAGUUACGAGAUAAUUAGUCUAAAUCUAUGUUCUCAUUUUUCUUCUUCUUCUUCUUCUUCAUAAUCUUUCAUUAAUUAUUUCAUUUUACAAUCACCUUAUGAUGAGGGUGGAACCUGACCAGUGCUUCAAGACGCUUCCUACAAACGCCAGGCAGGAAACUCCGCAGGGAAAUCAGGCCGGGACUCAGUUGCUCAAAGCUCUAUUUCGCUGGGUUUUCUCCACUUCUAAUGACCUGCCCAAAUGAGUGAGAGGUAUCUUCUAUUUAUAAGACUUUUUAUGGGGGUAAUCUGGUCAUUUGGUCCGUAACCGCCUAACUGACUAGAUCUGGUCCCAAGUUGACUUUUCUGGGAUCGACUUUCUUAGGGUUCGACUUUUUCAGUGUUCGACUUUUUGAAAAAGUUGAGUUCUAGGAAAGUCGAUCUUCACAGUAGUUGACUUGGGACCUCCCCAAACCUGGAAUAAGUGUCUCAGCUCAUCUUGGGCUAUCCGAACCUCUAGUUGCUGGUGCAUUGUAACCAAGUUCGAUAUAUGUAUCACCACCUUAUAAGGUUGAAACCCUAAAAUUGAAGAUACUUCACAUGCAACCUCAUUGUUAACUCAUCACUUUAAAUUUCUCUCCACAUGCAACCUCAUUCAAUACUUUGUUGAAUGGCAAUUGAAUGACUAAAUGUGCAAGUUUUUAUUUAGUUAAGAGUAAAGAUAGUUUUCGCCCUUUUAAUAAUAAUCAAUUCAUUAUUAUUCUAUUAAUCUAUUAUGCUAGCUAGGUAGAUGAUCAAAGAGUAAAGAUAGGUUGAUAAUAUGAAUUUAAUCUCAUUUUAAUUGAAUUGUUUGAAUUAAAAUAGUUUAUCAAACUGUAAUUAAAUUUGAUUCUUUUUUUUUAUUAAACGAACCACAUAAGUAAAAUUACUUUUAUAACCUCAACGGCUGUCAUUAAUCUUCGACGUAUGCUUCCAAGGCGACGGUUCAGUUCCCAACGGUUUGACUACUCUAUAUAAACAUAAGGAUACAACUUUGAAAGGUUAACGUUCGAUUUAUACAUUUGGGAUUCAAAAGGUCCGAUCCAUAUUGUGGAGCUUCCGGUCUUUCUUGCGAUCCUCGUCGGUGCACGUUCUUCUUCGAUAUCUGUCUUCACUCCUCGGAUCUUCGUACUUCCGUGGAACUCGAUCAUCUUACAGUAACCAUUUAUUUCAUAUUCUUAUCAAUCAUAUCUGUUGCACUAUCAUAUCGAGUAUACCUGUUGCAUCAUCAUACAGUGAAUCAAUUCUUGCUAUUAUGAUAAUAUAGUCAUUGACUCAGUCGAUCCGAGUUUAGCAUUGCUCAAUAAUCAUCAUACGUGAAUCUGAAUUGCAUUGUCAUCAUAUCGUGGUUUCUUAAAAUAUUUAAACAACAGUUCUUAUAUAAGUUUCUUCAUAUCAGUUUAUAGAUAUUUAUAUGUUCUAUCAUUUCUUGUUAAAAACUACUUCAUUCGUAUAUAUAUAUAGGAAAAACAUCCUGUACGGUACAUGUUUUCGUAGGGUACAUGUUGCGGUACUUCAUCCGGCCGUUUGAUUUCUUCUUCAUUUCCAGCCGUCCAUCCUUCUCCAUUUCUUCUCCAUUUCUAGAACGGAGAUGAUUUGGACUUGGUGUUUUUUCCUGGCUUCGAUGGAUUUUCGAGACUCUGGCAGAUGCCUUGGAGCUUGGCGUCUACCGAGGAAGGGAGAACACCUCGGGUUUGGUCGCUGGAGUGUCGGAAAUCGGAAAUCCAUCCGAUAAUAUCUUGAGGCUUCAGAGAUGGACUGCUACCAAUGGAGUUCAAAACUGUACGUGAUAAUGAUGAUAUUGAUGGUUGUGGUGUUCUUUUUUGAAUGACAAGGGUUCCGAAACACAAGCAGUCAGUUAUCAGCAUCGAUAACAAAUGAUGGGAAGCAUGUAGUAUGUGCAAGUGAGGAUUCAAAUGUGUAUAUUUGGCGGUACGAUUCAGAUUCAUCCAGUAAUACCACCAGAUUCAGAUUUAAAUGUGUAUAUCUAAGAAGCAGAGCAACGGCUAAAGGUGUUGCGAUCUCCUGCACUCAAUCCUACGAAUACUUCCACUGCCAUGAUGUGUCUGCUGCAUUAGCCUGGCCUGGUUGAAGCACACCAUCAACAACACCAAAAACGCCAAGAACACCAAGAACAAGGAGCAAAAGUUUCUCGCUACCAGCAGCAACCAAACUGCCUUUACCCAAAUGCAAUAAUGGAAGUAUCGCCAUCGUUCCUCAUCAGAUAUCACAGAGCAGUGGGGAGCUGUUCUCGCAGAUCCACAACCGAUCGGCUUGGGGUAUGGUUAUUAUCACUGCAGGCCGUGGUGGUGAUAUCAGAGUUUACCAAAAUUUUGGCUACCCAGUUCAUGUUUGAUGGAAUGGCCGACGGUCGUUGCUCUGUUUCAGGCAUACCGAUAUGGAACGGUGGCUGAAUGGAAUGGAACGGUGACUGAAUGGAAUGGAGACGGUGGCUUGGAGAGGAGACGACCGUGGAUAUGGAAUCGCAAGGUGGAGGGGGCAGGUACCGUUCGCAGCGGCCGUUCGAACAGGGUCGUUCCUGAUAUAUCUUGUAUAUAUAUAUAUAUAUAUAUAUAUAUAUAUAUAUCUGAUUAGUUAAGGUAGCAUAUUCCAUGGUAUCAGAGCGGUAAGAUCCAUUAGUUAAGGUAGCAUAUUCCAUGGUAGCAUAUUCCAUUAGUUAAGGUAGCAUAUUCCAGAAACAAGUUAAGUUUUUUUUUCUUCUUCUUUAAGAAGAAAAACCACAAAAUCUAAAAGUUUUUUUUUUUCAAAAAAAAAGGGGGACUUUCCUUCAUUUGGAUCCCGAUGAUCCUUUUUUCUUCUGCAACUUCAGCUCCUUUUUGAAUCAUCUAACACAGUCAGGGUCAGCUUCGGCCUUCUUCUUCUCUUUUUGUAGCAACUGAAGGAAUUUAGUGAUCCACACACUUGACAGUUUUUUUUCUCAACAUCAUCUAUCUUCACCAUUUAUUUCUUAGAAUUCUCUUUGUUCAAAGAUAUGUUCUUCAUAUCAGUUUAUAGAUAUUUAUAUGUUCUAUCACUUCUUAUUAAGAACUACUUCAUUCGUAUAUAUAUAUAUCUGAUUAGUUAAGGUAGCAUAUUCCAUUCAAAUCUGUAUUAGAUUUUACAUGGUAUCAGAGCGGCCGGCAAGAUCCAAACUGUUUUCGAAAAACCACAAAAUCUAAGAGUUUUUUUUUCAAAAAAAAAGGGGGACUUUCCUUCAUUUGGAUCCCGAGGAUCUCCUCUUCUUCUGCAACUUCAGCUCCUUCUUGAGCCAUCUAGCAUAGUCAGGGUCAACUUCGGCCUUCUUCUUCUCUUUUUGCAGCAACUGAAGGAAUUUAGCAUAAUCAGGGUCUGCAUCUUCAUUAUCAUUAAACUCCACUUUCUCUCUUCCCUUAUCAUUUUUAAUCUCAUCUUCAUUCGAGUCAUCCUUCAUUUUCUGAACAUUAACUCCCAGCAUAAACAUAUCAAAGCACUCAUCAGCCUCAGAAUCAGAGCUAAAUCCAUAUAUUCCACCAUUUGUUUUUUAGAAUUCUCUUUGUUUAAAGAUAUAUUCUUCAUAUCAGUUUAUAGAUAUUUAUAUGUUUGUGUGUGUGUAUAUCUGAUUAGUUAAGGUAGCAUAUUCCAUUCAAAUCUGUAUUAGAUUUUACAUGGUAUCAGAGCGGUAAGAUCCAAACCGUUUUCAGAAACAAGUUAAGUAUUUUUUUCUUCUUUUUUAAGAAGAAAAACCACAAAAUCUAAAAGUUUUUUUUUUCAAAAAAAAAGGGGGACUUUCCUUCAUUUGGAUCCCGAGGAUCCCCUCUUUUUCUGCAACUUCAGCUCCUUCUUGAGCCAUCUAGCAUAGUCAGGGUCAGCUUCGGCCUUCUUCUUCUCUUUUUGCAGCAACUGAAGGAAUUUAGCAUAAUCAGGGUCUGCAUUUUCAUCAUCAUUCAACUCCACUUUCUCUUUUCCCUUAUCAUUUUAAUCUCAUCUUCAUUCGAGUCAUCCUCUAUUUUCUGAACAUUCACUACAAAAAACCAGCGCAGUUCUGGCGCCCAUCUUCCCGGGAAAUUUUUUUUCCUGCCGGGAAAUAUUGACCAGCGGCCAGGCCGCCGGAAAAUUAUUUUUCAAAAAUUAACAGCCGGCGGCCAGGUCGCCGGGAUAUAAUUUUCAAAAAAAAAUUCGGCGACUAAGCCGCCGGGACAAUCUCUGUUAAAAUCGGAAUCCAAAAUUUUUUCCCGACGGCCAGGCCGCCGGUAUUUCAACAUUCCGGCGAUGGCAUCUCGUCGGCUUGGCCGCCGAAAUAUGCCGCCAGAACUGCGCUGGUUUUUUGUAGUGAUUAACUCCCAGCAUAAACAUAUCAAAGUACUCAUCAGCCUCAGAAUCAGAGCUAAAUCCAUAGAUCCCACCAUUCUCCAUAGCAUCAGUAUCAUAAUUCUCAUCAAAUCUGCCAUCCCAAUCUGAAAGAUAAUUCUCUGGAGAAGGAUACUCUCACUUCCAGUUGUGAGGCCUAGGAGCAUCUUCCAAUUUUGAGUGAAUUCCAUUUUUCCAGUUUUAAUCCAUCCACUCCAUGAAUGGAUCAUGAAAUACUUCUCCUUCUCUCUUCCUCUUUCUAGUUUCCCUCCUUAUCAUUGUAGAUUCAUCAACAGUGGGCUCUGGUUGUUGAAUAUUAGACUCAACCACCAUUAAGUGAUCCACACACUCGACAGUUUUUUCUCAGCAUCAUCUAUCUCCACCAUUUGCUUCUUAGAAUUCUCUUUGUUCAAAGAUAUGUUCUUCAUAUCAGUUUAUAGAUAUUUAUACAUUCUAUCACUUUUUGUUAAGAACUACUUCAUUCGUGUAUAUAUAUAUAUAUCUGAUUAGUUAAGGUAGCAUAUUCCAUAAUUCAAAUCUGUAUUAAAUUUUACAUUUUUUGUUAGGGUAAAUUGGCUAUAGUUGCAUAAAUUGCUUUAACUGAGGUGAUAUUAAGAAUGUGUUAAUUAGUUGGGUUCAUAAGAGGGUUUUCUCAUAAGAAGAAAAAUAGUCACUAGAUUUUUUUGCCCCUUAUAUGAACUCAGGUAAUCAUUUACUAAUAGAUGAAACUUCUUGAAGGAUAAGUAAAUUGCAAGAAUGGUGAAUUCUAUUACAGUACAAGGAAGAAGAGUAAAAUUUGAUUGCUGUGAAAGGACAAGAUUCGCGGAAGGCGAAAUUUUUUUUGUACUAAUUUCAAAAUCUAUAAAUUUUUUGGCAUAACCUAUUCAUAAAAUCGAUUAUAAAUAUAUGUAUAAAAAAACAUCUAUAUGACUGUAUGUAUAAAAAUAAAAUCCAUCUUCAAUCUAGAAUUAAUAAUUUAACAUAGGUAAUUUAAAAAUUCAGAAGCAUCUUUAUAAAAAAAAUAUAUAAAAUCCAUCUUCAAUCUUCAAUCCACAAUUAACAAUUAAAUAGUCCUGUUUUAUAAAUUGGAGUAAAAAAAUCAGACAGGAUCAAUUUAUAUAAAACACUGGUGGAGAAUAUUUUAGAGUUUUAAUAUUUUCACAGGUUUAUUGUCAUUUGAAAAUAAGUUGUUGAAUAUUUCUCAUGUUGAUUUUAUUUCCAUUAUGAUUUAUUUUGCUUGUUAUUUCUAUUAGAUUAUUUCUCAUGAUGCGUGGAGAAGGGGGGGGAACAACAGUGAAGAAUCUAAGAAGAGAGUAUUAGGGAUUUCAAAUUUGGGGGAGAAGAUUUGUGAAACGCGGGGGGAGAAGAGAAAUAUAUUGUGAAAAUUAUAUUUAACCCCUUAUAAUUUUUUUUAUUACAUAUAGAUCUUCGUUUUUUUUCCAACCUCCAAGAGGGGAAGUACGCCCAUGGUUAUAUAGAUACUAUAAAUAAACACUCGUGUAUAUAUAUAUUAUAUACAUCUAAAAUUCAAUUCACUUCAAUCUAAUUACACAUUAGAUCUUCAUAUAAUUAACAUAUUUUUAAUAAGUACAUUACAUGUGUAAAUAUAUCAG
RNAcentral lists this long non-coding RNA (6865 nucleotides) under Zostera marina. RNAcentral describes it as "long non-coding RNA (ZMAR_LNC001230)". The record is from RNAcentral. Lineage: Eukaryota; Viridiplantae; Streptophyta; Magnoliopsida; Alismatales; Zosteraceae.